CAGAGUAACUGUUGACAUCGUGACGGUAUCCAACCAGAAAGCCACGGCUAACUACGUGCCAGCAGCCGCGGUAAUACGUAGGUGGCAAGCGUUGUCCGGAUUUAUUGGGCGUAAAGCGAGCGCAGGCGGUUUUUUAGGUCUGAUGUGAAAGCCUUCGGCUUAACCGGAGAAGUGCAUCGGAAACCGGGAAACUUGAGUGCAGAAGAGGACAGUGGAACUCCAUGUGUAGCGGUGAAAUGCGUAGAUAUAUGGAAGAACACCAGUGGCGAAGGCGGCUGUCUGGUCUGCAACUGACGCUGAGGCUCGAAAGCAUGGGUAGCGAACAGGAUUAGAUACCCUGGUAGUCCAUGCCGUAAACGAUGAGUGCUAAGUGUUGGAGGGUUUCCGCCCUUCAGUGCUGCAGCUAACGCAUUAAGCACUCCGCCUGGGGAGUACGACCGCAAGGUUGAAACUCAAAGGAAUUGACGGGGGCCCGCACAAGCGGUGGAGCAUGUGGUUUAAUUCGAUGCUACGCGAAGAACCUUACCAGGUCCUGACAUCUUCUGCUAACCUAAGAGAUUAGGCGUUCCCUUCGGGGACGGAAUGACAGGUGGUGCAUGGUUGUCGUCAGCUCGUGUCGUGAGAUGUUGGGUUAAGUCCCGCAACGAGCGCAACCCUUAUUGUCAGUUGCCAGCACUUAGUUGGGCACUCUGGCGAGACUGCCGGUGACAAACCGGAGGAAGGUGGGGAUGACGUCAAAUCAUCAUGCCCCUUAUGACCUGGGCUACACACGUGCUACAAUGGACGGUACAACGAGUCGCGAAACCGUGAGGUCAAGCUAAUCUCUGAAAGCCGUUCUCAGUUCGGAUUGCAGGCUGCAACUCGCCUGCAUGAAGUUGGAAUCGCUAGUAAUCGUGGAUCAGCAUGCCACGGUGAAUACGUUCCCGGGCCUUGUACACACCGCCCGUCACACCAUGAGAGUUUGUAACACCCAAAGCCGGUGAGGUAACCUUCGGGGGCCAGCCGUCUAAGGUGGGACAGAUGAUUAGGGUGAAGUCGUAACAAGGUAGCCGUAGGAGAACCUGCGGCUGGAUCACCUCCUUUCUAA
This 1087-nucleotide ribosomal RNA is filed under the name uncultured bacterium. RNAcentral's name for it is "bacterial SSU rRNA". It matches the Rfam family "Bacterial small subunit ribosomal RNA", at positions 445 to 1533 of the family's 1533-position model. The record is from RNAcentral.